Long non-coding RNA from Xiphophorus hellerii (green swordtail), 143 nucleotides. RefSeq lists it as uncharacterized. The transcript has 3 exons. The record is from RefSeq and is a predicted model, not a curated record. NCBI's taxonomy places the organism in Eukaryota, Metazoa, Chordata, Actinopteri, Cyprinodontiformes, Poeciliidae.
UUACUGUUGUCACAAUACAGUCAACCCUCGUUUUUCGCGGGGGUUGCGUUCCGAAAAGAACCCGUGAAAGGCAAAAUCCGUGAAGUAGUUACCUUUAUUUUUUACAAUUAUUAUACAGCAUAAUUAAAUACUCUACAUUGAAA